AGGUUUCUAGUUAAAAUAUUUAAUUUUAUUUAAUAGUUUUUGUUUGUAAAUUUUAUAUAUUGUAUAAUUCAAACUCGAAUGAUUUAGUAUACAAGACCAUGAUUAUCGCAGUUUUUUUAGCGUAGUGUAAUUAUGAUUAAAAUAAAUCAAAAUUAGCUGCUAUUAGAAGAAACAUUUCGUAACCAGGGACAAUAAGAAACGUUUCUGAUCAAAAUUGGCCUUCUUCUUUCCACAUCUCUCUUGACUGGGAAUUGAUCGAUACCUAUCAAUCUUAGCCCCCUCUCCAAUCGUAAUAUUCCGAGCGUCAUGCCGUGGAGAAUCGAGACGUUGUCUCCGAUCACCACCCCGUCGUGUGGUCAAACAAAAUCCUCUUUUCCGAUCUUGGCUCCAGGGUGAAAGUCAACGGCGAAAGCUUCUCUGUUUUGGAUGAGUAAAGCGAGGAUUUUUCUGUCUUGAGUCCAGAGCUUGUGAGCGAUGCGAUGAGCUUGACAAGCGAGAAAGCCUUUGAAGCUUCGGAAGCAAUGGACGUAGCUUAAGCAAGCUGGGUGUCUUUCCUUUGCUGCUAUUAGGUCUCGCUUCACCGACUCCACCAUCUCUUCUCUGGGCUUUCUUGUAAAACGCUGAUGGGUAUUAGUUCUUCAAAUGAGGAAUUCUUCAAAGAAGCUGGCCAAGUUGUUGACGUCAGAUUUGGUAUGUCAAACGAUGGUGAUGGCAGAUUCCUUUGCUUUGGCAUGGUUGAGUUUGCAACUCCCAGAGAAGCACAGAAGGUCACAAGUGUUGUCUAUGUCCAUCAUCAAAUCAAAACAAAGAAGAAGGCUUUGCCCAUGCUGUUCUGAGCCUACACAUGAUGUAUAUUCCUGACCAUGGAGAGAUUGUUGGUGAGGAGACCAGGUGGUAGUAAGUGGGGGCUGAAAUAAAAUAUGGUUGGGCUUUGAAGAUACUUCAGGAAGGAGUAUUGAUGGAGAGGCAGACCAGUGUUUGAUCAGCCACACACACCAAGCUGGAGCUCCUCAUGUAUUGCAAGAACCGGUUGAAUUAAGUGCAGACCGUUUGGUUGUUGAGCUCCUGGUUCAAAAGACACACAAGGGUCAGUGAAGAAGAGAUCAAAGGAGGAACCAGUUGACUUAAGCGCAACUGUAGGGGUGAUGCGCUCCUGGUUUCAAGACUCCAUGUUGCUCACUUUUAAGCUUGGUCCUUCACUCAUUUUUUCCGUAUCAAGCUUAAGGAAGGGUAAUGGUGAGCUAUCCUGAAGGUCCAUGUCGUCUAGUGCCUCACCUCAGAUCAUAUGGAGGACUCAAGUGUCUCAAAGACACUCCUCAUCAGUCUCAUUCACUCAUAUGCAAGGGGAGUAACCAGUUCAAUCUUUGAGUUGAAGUUUGAUUGGUUUAUGCCUUCAGAAUUGAUGCAAGUGUUUAUGCAUUAGGUUAUAGGUACUUGGAAGUCUCUAUAUCAGAAGUUGGUCGUCCCUACACCCUUUGAAGAUGGCAAGGAGUCAGAAGAAAGGGGGAGACAUCAAACCAGCCAAGAGAAGAGAUCCGAGAUGUUGGUGUGUGCAAGUUAUGGAGUUCAUCCUUGCAGCACAAAGUCAAGCCAUGAUCCAGAGUCUAAGGACUCCACCAUGAGUUAUCUGAAGUUCAUUAGACUCACUGGCCAAUCCCGAGGCCUUGUUGAACUCUACUCUUUUUCCCUUAGCAAGUUUUGUCCCAAAGGGUUUUCUUGCUAAGUUUCUUAAUGAGGGAGCUUCUUCAAGGUUCCAAGCUUGUCCAAGGAUCUCCUAUGGUCAAGCUUGAGGGGGAGUGUUGGAAUGAAGAAGGAAGAAGCAAUGACUUAGUUGUUAGAAUGAAGAAAACAUGACCAAAAGGAAAAGAGUCAUUGCAUGAUCCAAGUCAACCUAUCCAUGGGAAUUCAUCCACGUAAUUCAUUUCCAAGGAAGCCCAUCCACAGAAACCUAUCCACAGAAUUUCACGGUAGACCUUUGCUCGGUCGUCAAAUGCGUCUUGAGGUUUCUCAACAGAGGGGAUAAAGACACACUUACACUCCACAAAGCAGCGGUGACAUGGAGCAUGGAAUAUCGUUUUGACAUUGUAGUCGAAGGCCUAGUUUCACUCCCACAGAUUCUUUAGAUAGGAAAGCGCCCAACUUCUCAUUUGAAUGUUAGUUCACAUGUUUGCUUAAUAAUGUACUUGUUACGUUGUGGUUAUGGUUUAAGUAAUAUACUCUUUUUGAUGUCUCUGGAUGUGUUGUACUUUAUUCUUAUGGAUUUGAUCAACUUGUGUGGUAGUGGUCGGAAUGCUUUUUUAUCUAAAAAAAUAUUUUUUUUUAA
Brassica napus (rape) is the source of this 2323-nucleotide RNA transcript. RefSeq lists it as uncharacterized. The transcript has 5 exons. The record is from RefSeq and is a predicted model, not a curated record. Lineage: Eukaryota; Viridiplantae; Streptophyta; Magnoliopsida; Brassicales; Brassicaceae.